CUUCACCGAGCCGAGCAGCAGCGCCCGUUCACGAUCCUGACCGUAGGUGGCCAGCAGCGCCUGCGCCUC
This 69-nucleotide antisense RNA is filed under the name Streptomyces sp. PAN_FS17. RNAcentral's name for it is "ASpks TB sRNA". It matches the Rfam family "ASpks TB sRNA". Lineage: Bacteria; Bacillati; Actinomycetota; Actinomycetes; Kitasatosporales; Streptomycetaceae. The record is from Rfam by way of RNAcentral.